RNAcentral lists this ribosomal RNA (441 nucleotides) under uncultured bacterium. RNAcentral describes it as "partial 16S ribosomal RNA". It matches the Rfam family "Bacterial small subunit ribosomal RNA", at positions 338 to 795 of the family's 1533-position model. The record is from RNAcentral.
CCUACGGGAGGCAGCAGUGGGGAAUAUUGCACAAUGGGGGGAACCCUGAUGCAGCGACGCAGCGUGAGUGAAGAAGGAUUUCGGUAUGUAAAGCUCUGUCAGCAGGGAAGAAGAAAGACGAUACCUGACCAAGAAACCCCGGCUAACUACGUGCCAGCAGCCGCGGUAAUACGUAGGGGGCAAGCGUUAACCGGAUUUACUGGGUGUAAAGGGUGCGUAGACGGCAGGGCAAGUCUGGGGUGAAAGGCAGGGGCCCAACCCCCGGACUGCUCUGGAAACUGGCAGGCUGGAGUGCAGGAGAGGUAAGUGGAAUUCCUAGUGUAGCGGUGAAAUGCGUAGAUAUUAGGAGGAACACCAGGGGCGAAGGCGGCUUACUGGACUGUAACUGACGCUGAGGCUCGAAAGCGUGGGGAGCAAACAGGAUUAGAUACCCCGGUAGUC